CCCGGGCCGCCUGCAGGGCGCGCCGCGUCCCGUCCGGUCCCGUCCCGUUCCGUCCCGUCGGGUCCCAGCCCCGCCAACUCUCACCCUGCCCGGCCCUUCCAGCGGAUCCACUUGCAGCCCCCGACCCCUGACUUGGUCCCCGAGGUCGGGGCUCGGUGGGAAGGAAAGCGAGGGGCUUCCCGGAAAGAAAGGGAGGAGGAGGCAGGAGGAGGCAGACGCCGAGAGAGGAGAAAAGGAGGCCAGAGGCAGAGGGAAAAGGAGGAGGGCAAGAGAAUCCUAGAGCGGGAAGAGCGUGGGCUCUGCGGGACGUGGGCGAGAGGUUACCAGGGAAAGAAUGGACAUUGACGGCAGAGAGCAAGUUUAGCCUGGAGAGGAGGAAUUGAGUGAGCAAAGGGGGUAGUCUGGGGUGCGAUGCACAGAAAGGCCCGUCCAGGGUAACCUUCACGUCUCCGUAUCCGUUGCUGUCGACUUUCCAGAGCCUUUGUUCCCAGUGACGUCCCUAUUGCAAUGGAGGGACACACUUCACUUUCCCCAGCCCCCCACCUCGAGAAUUUCUCUCACCCUCCCACCCUGCGGGGCCGCAGAGCUUGCUCCUCACGGCAGGAGUUGGAGCCCUGACGCUUGCCUUCACCUAGUUUUUGUUUGGUUUGGUUUGGCGUUGAUGGGACAAAGUCAGCCAAACUACUUUGCCAUCAGCAGAGAAGCAGGAGGAUCCUUGAGUAUACCUAGUCAACCAUAUGGCAGGAAGCAGAAAUCAUCUACUUCGUAGUUGAUUUUGUGAAUGAGAUGCUGCUUUAUCCAAUCUACUGACUUUGGAAAAUCCAGCUGAAAUGAGGAAAGAUAAUCGUGCAUGUCUGGCAACCAGGUAAUUUCUUUCCUAUCUUUCAUGUCACAGUAUUUUGAGGACACAAAUUCCUAAAUACUCAGAAAAAAAUGGUUUUAUCUUAAUUGAUUUAUAAAUUAUGUUAGGGUAGUUGUUAAACAGAAUUUUGUCAAAGAAGCAGUACACUGUAACACUUUCAGGCUCCCAUUGGUUUAAAAUUUGAUAAGUGUAUUUCUUUGCUGACAAGUCAAACUGUUCAAAUGUUAUGGAGGACUAAAAAGGCCUGGGAUUCACAGGCUCAUUUUUUGUUUUAACUGAAUCAUGAAAAUACACAACUUUUUUUUUUCCAGGAAAGACAGAUGUUAUUUACCACCAAUGAAUUUUUAUCAUAUUUAAAUGAACUUGAAAAUGUCAUUCAACUCAAAUCCCUCAAUCAACUUACUUCAGCCCAUUCUGAAACUUCAUAUUGCAGCAAACCAGCCAUGUGAAAGAAAUAAAUUCAAUUUUGACUUUCAAAAAAAAUAAAUGCUGCAUAAGUUACCCUUGUGGACCUUAGCUAUUAAGGUGGACAAUGACUUUAUUUUCUUUACGUAAGUUUUAUAUUUUAUUAUGACAUUCAUUUUUUCUACAUGAAGACACAAAUAAAAAUUAUACCAACUACAUAAACUAUUUU
Molecule: long non-coding RNA, 1496 nt
Filed under: Homo sapiens (human)
Lineage: Eukaryota; Metazoa; Chordata; Mammalia; Primates; Hominidae
Description: HSALNT0113286
Source: RNAcentral